UACAGAGGGUGCAAGCGUUAAUCGGAAUUACUGGGCGUAAAGGGUGUGUAGGUGGUUAGGUAAGUUAGAUGUGAAAUCCCCGGGCUCAACCUGGGAAUUGCGUUUAAAACUGUUUAGCUAGAGUAUUGUAGAGGAUAGUGGAAUUUCCAGUGUAGCGGUGAAAUGCGUAGAUAUUGGAAGGAACACCAGUGGCGAAGGCGACUAUCUGGGCAAAUACUGACACUGAGACACGAGAGCAUGGGGAGCAAAC
This 250-nucleotide ribosomal RNA is filed under the name uncultured bacterium. RNAcentral describes it as "partial 16S ribosomal RNA". It matches the Rfam family "Bacterial small subunit ribosomal RNA", at positions 524 to 773 of the family's 1533-position model. The record is from RNAcentral.